This 326-nucleotide ribosomal RNA is filed under the name Clostridium perfringens. Its description in RNAcentral is "partial 23S ribosomal RNA". It matches the Rfam family "Bacterial large subunit ribosomal RNA", at positions 1219 to 1544 of the family's 2925-position model. The record is from RNAcentral. Lineage: Bacteria; Bacillati; Bacillota; Clostridia; Eubacteriales; Clostridiaceae.
GUUCAAGCGGUAGGAGAGCGUCGUAACCGGGCUGAAGUCGUACCGUAAGGAGCGGUGGACUGGUUACGAGUGAGAAUGUUGGCAUCAGUAGCGAGAUGUGGGUGAGAAUCCCACAGGCCGAAAACCUAAGGUUUCCUCAGGAAGGUUCGUCCGCUGAGGGUUAGUCGGGACCUAAGCCGAGGCCGAAAGGCGUAGGUGAUGGACAACUGGUUGAUAUUCCAGUACCACUACCAUCGUUAUUAUCGAUGGCGUGACGCAGGAGGAUAGUGUGUGCUAGCUAUUGGAUGCUAGUCUAAGCGUUUAGGCAGUGAGAGUAGGCAAAUCCG